Molecule: long non-coding RNA, 257 nt
Filed under: Elaeis guineensis (African oil palm)
Lineage: Eukaryota; Viridiplantae; Streptophyta; Magnoliopsida; Arecales; Arecaceae
Description: long non-coding RNA (EGUI_LNC034556)
Source: RNAcentral
CAUCAAACACCACUCGAUUUUUGGUCAUCCUUGAUUUGCUGUUAAGCCACUUGUAUUGAUGAAGUUGCUUUGAUCAGACUGACUCAGACCAUUGAGUACUGCCACUUGAUCAGUGCUAUUUCACUUUCUUGAUUUCUCUCUUUUUCUCUAUCAUAAUCUCUUUACCUUAUCUAUAAAUCUAGUAAAAGGUCUCGAGCCCUAUUGCUUUGAAUCCAAGUUGAUCCUAGUAAAAAAAUUUUGAACCAUCCUAUUGAUCA